CUGAUCGUUUGUCAAUUGAUUCUCCUAUGAGUGAUUCUGGAGUGAAUACUCUCUAAAGUACACAACUGAUGAAGGAAGAGUUCUUGAGCGUACGACAUCAGCAGAUACUCUUCCGUACUGAUGAAUAGUAACAGAUGGAAUCUGUUUUGUGAAGAUGGUAGCGUUUGGCUUGUUUUUCAGGCCCUGCUACUUGGACAGGGACUUGUCCAAACAGGGGACGAUGUGGAGCCCUCUAUUGGCAUCUUGUCUGUGUCCCUGUCAAAAAAGAAUUACUCUAUUUUUCGUUGAACUUCUAUUUUUUGUAGAACUUUGAAGCAGGACUGUAUCUCGACUGAAGUUAACAACCAUCUAUUCUAGGAAGUUUCCUGAUGUAUAGUAUAAUAGAGGAAUUCCCAGUACCUUUUUCAUAAAUUAGUUAGGAUCCCAUAAUUACCCUUGUUAGAGCUAGAGAUGAACUCACUAGUCGGUUUUCUGCCCUUCCCGUACUAGAUUCUCGAAGUUCAGUACAAUUAUACUGAAUCAAUAAUAAUGGACCUUCUCUACUUUGCUUCAA
Long non-coding RNA from Olea europaea var. sylvestris, 553 nucleotides. RefSeq lists it as uncharacterized. The transcript is spliced from 2 exons. NCBI's taxonomy places the organism in Eukaryota, Viridiplantae, Streptophyta, Magnoliopsida, Lamiales, Oleaceae. The record is from RefSeq and is a predicted model, not a curated record.